This 462-nucleotide ribosomal RNA is filed under the name Longitarsus zangherii. RNAcentral describes it as "partial 16S ribosomal RNA". The stretch from base 336 to 462 matches the Rfam family "Bacterial large subunit ribosomal RNA", at positions 2473 to 2599 of the family's 2925-position model. The record is from RNAcentral. Lineage: Eukaryota; Metazoa; Arthropoda; Insecta; Coleoptera; Chrysomelidae.
UUUAAAUGGCCGCAGUAUUUUAACUGUGCUAAGGUAGCAUAAUCAUUAGUUUUUUAAUUGAAAGCUGGAAUGAAGGGUUGGAUGAAAAAUUGACUGUCUCUGAUUAAUUUUAUUAGAAUUUUAUUUUUAAGUUAAAAAGCUUAAAUAAUUUUAAAAGACGAGAAGACCCUAUAGAGUUUAAUAUAUUUAAUUUAUUAAUUUUUAGUAUUUAUUUUUUAUAAUUAUUAUGUAUUUAAUUGGGGUGAUUAAAAAAUUUAAUAAACUUUUUUUUUAAUUUAUAUUGAUUAAUAAUUAGAUGAUCCAAAAAUUUUGAUUAUAAGAUAAAUUACCUUAGGGAUAACAGCGUAAUUUUAUUAGAGAGUUCUAAUCGAAAGUAAAGUUUGCGACCUCGAUGUUGGAUUAAAAUUUAUAUUUGGUGUAGAAGCUAGAUAAUUUAAGUCUGUUCGACUUUUAAAAUUUUAC